UCCCUAAUGGCUCAGUCGGUAAAGAGUCUGCCUGAAGCGCAGGAGAACCAGGCUUGAUCCCUGGUUCAGGAA
Transfer RNA from Ovis aries (sheep), 72 nucleotides. It matches the Rfam family "tRNA". From Rfam's summary of the family: Transfer RNA (tRNA) molecules are approximately 80 nucleotides in length. Their secondary structure includes four short double-helical elements and three loops (D, anti-codon, and T loops). Further hydrogen bonds mediate the characteristic L-shaped molecular structure. tRNAs have two regions of fundamental functional importance: the anti-codon, which is responsible for specific mRNA codon recognition, and the 3' end, to which the tRNAs corresponding amino acid is attached (by aminoacyl-tRNA synthetases). tRNAs cope with the degeneracy of the genetic code in two manners: having more than one tRNA (with a specific anti-codon) for a particular amino acid; and 'wobble' base-pairing, i.e. permitting non-standard base-pairing at the 3rd anti-codon position. The record is from Rfam. NCBI's taxonomy places the organism in Eukaryota, Metazoa, Chordata, Mammalia, Artiodactyla, Bovidae.